AAUCAACGCUGGCGGCGCGCUUAACACAUGCAAGUCGAACGAGAAAGGGAGCAAUCCUGAGUAAAGUGGCGCACGGGUGAGUAACACGUGGGUAAUCUACCCUCUGGUGGGGAAUAACUC
Molecule: ribosomal RNA, 120 nt
Filed under: uncultured bacterium
Lineage: Bacteria
Description: partial 16S ribosomal RNA
Rfam family: Bacterial small subunit ribosomal RNA
Source: RNAcentral